This 1470-nucleotide ribosomal RNA is filed under the name Lycodon ruhstrati. Its description in RNAcentral is "16S ribosomal RNA". It matches the Rfam family "Bacterial large subunit ribosomal RNA", at positions 479 to 2828 of the family's 2925-position model. Lineage: Eukaryota; Metazoa; Chordata; Lepidosauria; Squamata; Colubridae. The record is from RNAcentral.
GCCGACUAAACUACACAAAUAUAUUAAUGUAACUAAACAAAACAUUUGACCCACCAAGUAGAUGCGAUCGAACAGUAAACAACCAAUCAGUACCGCAAGGGACAACCAUAAGCAACAAACAGCAAAGAUUAACCCUUGUACCUUUCGCAUCAUGGUUUAGCAAGAAACCACAGACAAGAAGAAUCAUAGCCUUCACCCCGAAACCAGAUGAGCUACUUUAAAGCAGCUUAAUGAGCACACCCUUCUCUGUAGCAAAAGAGUGGGAAGACUUAAAAGUAGAGGUGAAACGCCUACCGAAUCUGGAGAUAGCUGGCUACCCCAAAAAGAAUCUAAGUUCAACCUUAAACCAAAACAAUAUUCCCUUAUUGACCUUAAGGAUAAUCAAUAAAGGUACAGCUUUAUUGAUACAGGAUACAACCUGAAUUUGAGAGAACAAAAAACACACCACCAGUAGGCCUUAAAGCAGCCACCCAACAAAAUAUCGUUAUAGAAUUAACCAUAAAAACCCAAAAAUCAACCAAAAACUCCAAAUUAACUAAAGGUAGACCUAUAAAUAUAGGUAUUAUUAUGCUAAAACUAAUAAUAAGACAACCUCUCUUCAAUGCACCUUUCCCCUAGACCGGAUAAACCACUAGCCUUUAACAGACCAAAACAGGCAUAAACCAAACCAAUACCUACCCAAAAACAAACUGUGACCCCAACACAGGAGCAUUAAAAAGAAAGAUAAAACAUUAUAAAAGGAACUCGGCAAACACAGACCCCAACUGUUUAACAAAAACAUAACCUUUAGCCAAACAAAUAUUAAAGGCGACGCCUGCCCGGUGAACAAUUAAACGGCCGCGGUAUCCUAACCGUGCAAAGGUAGCAUAAUCAUUUGUCUACUAAUUAUAGACCUGUAUGAAAGGCAAAAUGAGGGUCUAACUGUCUCUUAUAAUAAGUCAAUUAAACUGAUCUCCUAGUAAAAAAGCUAGAAUACCACCACAAGACCAGAAGACCCUGUGAAGCUUAAACUAAACUAUUAAACCACAUAAUAGCUACUUUCGGUUGGGGCGACCUUGGAAAAAAAAAGAACUUCCAACACAUGACAUUCCUCAUACCAAUCAGGCCCACUAGCCUACAAAAGACCCAGCAAAGCUGACAAACGAACCAAGUUACUCCAGGGAUAACAGCGCAAUCUUCUUCAAGAGCCCAUAUCAAAAAGAAGGUUUACGACCUCGAUGUUGGAUCAGGACAUCCUAAUGGUGCAACCGCUAUUAAGGGUUCGUUUGUUCAACGAUUAACAGUCCUACGUGAUCUGAGUUCAGACCGGAGCAAUCCAGGUCGGUUUCUAUCUAUGAAUUUAGCCUUGCCCAGUACGAAAGGACCGAUAAGGCAAAGCCAAUACUACAAGCACGCUUUAACCAAAGAUAUUUAACCCACAUCACCACAAACACCAUAAAACCAAGAGAAGGUUAAUUAAGGACCACCUUA